RNAcentral lists this ribosomal RNA (483 nucleotides) under uncultured bacterium. RNAcentral describes it as "bacterial SSU rRNA". It matches the Rfam family "Bacterial small subunit ribosomal RNA", at positions 29 to 507 of the family's 1533-position model. The record is from RNAcentral.
AUGAACGCUAGCGGCAGGCCUAACACAUGCAAGUCGAGGGGCAGCACAGGUAGCAAUACUGGGUGGCGACCGGCGGAUGGGUGCGUAACGCGUAUGCAACCUACCAUUGAUUGGGGCAUAGCCCGAAGAAAUUCGGAUUAAUACUCCAUAAUAUUCAUCAAAGGCAUCUUUUAUGAAUUAAAGCUUUUGCGAUCAAUGAUGGGCAUGCGUGACAUUAGUUAGUUGGUGAGGUAACGGCUCACCAAAACGAUGAUGUCUAGGGGUUCUGAGAGGAUUAUCCCCCACACUGGUACUGAGACACGGACCAGACUCCUACGGGAGGCAGCAGUGAGGAAUAUUGGUCAAUGGACGCAAGUCUGAACCAGCCAUUCCGCGUGAAGGAAGAAGGCCUUAUGGGUUGUAAACUUCUUUUCUGUUAGAAGAAUAAGCCCGUCGUGACGGGUGAUGCCGGUAUAGCAGGAAUAAGCAUCGGCUAACUCCGUG